CUCUUUUCCUUCACCUCCCCCGCCAUCACCUAAUCCUAUCUUCUCUCAAAUGCUCUCAUGUCUAAACCCUAAUCAGACCUCGAUGUCACUCAUAUAUGGCCAUUCAUGGUGGUUUAUCACCAACCCCCAGGCCUCUAACAACCUCUCCUCUAUCAGUGUCACCAUAUCCAUGGUCCUCAAGGGACAAGGGUUAGUCUGCUUGCAUCUAUGGCUGUUUCUCACAUGUUUCACACUGUUCAGUUUGAUUCUAUGUAAGAACUUUCUAUAUCGACUUAGAUUUAUGGGUUUCUAGGCUUGCUUCUUCACCUCUGUGUUGUUCUUCUCGACACCUUAAUUUCUUCCUUCUGAACUUGUUAUAAAUGUAUAGAUCUCAGAUGGUUUAGACCUAUUUCAUAUGAGUUUUACAAGAACCUUUUGAUUUUUGCAAGAACCCUCUGAUUUUUGAAUGGUUUUAUUUUUCUAAACUAAGGUUUCCCGAAAAUUUCUUUUUCCAAAACAUUUGAUAAUUCUGAGUGUUUAAUCUUCAAUUUCCUAUAUAUUUUAACUGAUUUCAUAAGUUUUUAUCUAACCUUAACUCGUUUAUACUAAAAGCUCUAGUUUUUCGACACUUUUUGUUUGGUUUAUGAGUUACUUGUGUACUAAUCUUGUCCUUGCUUUGGUUCUGUGAUGUUUCUUUAGCUAAUUAUAUGUUUUGUGAUUUUCUUAUCCUAAUACGUCUCUACUAAGUUUCUUGGUUCAACUUUUCUACUAAUUUUGUAUGUUUGUGUUCAUUCUGACUAUUCAUGGUAGGACUAUAUUUUUCUCGUUAAAUCAAGGUUGUUUUGAAUUUUACAUUUACCAAUUUGCUUCGAAAAACCUAUGUGUUGAAUCCUGACUAUUCCUUUCUUGCCUAUUUGAAUUGUCUGUGAUAUUUCUAACUCUUUACGUGAUUUUCUUUUUUAAUUACACCCUUGAAUAUUCUGAAGUUCUUAUUUCGGUGUGAUUUGAACUCUUUUCCUUAACAAAACCAUUGAUUCUUACUUCUCUACUCGGUUUGAUUGAACUUCUUGCCUUAAUUAGUUCUCUCUUGCCUUAUUUGUUAUUUGCUGAUUCUUAUUAAUUAUUUCCUUAAUUGAACUCCUGUUCAUUCCCCAAUAAUUACCUACUAUAUUCCCAAGUCUUACUGGAUUCCCUUCCUUAAAUAUCUGUCCUGUUUUUACCGUGGAGUGAUAAUCCCUUGGUUAAGGGGAAGACUAACUGAUUUCAUGUGUGUGAUUGAUUAUGUGAAUUUUCCUAAUUGCUAGUAUUGAUACCCAAUAUUUUCCUAUUUUUUUUAUGCGUAAAUACCUUAGUAUAUAUGUGCAUAUAUAAGCAUGCACAUGGUUUUUAUAAAUUUUUCCCUAAUUUUAAAGAUGUAAAUUGAUCUUUUUAUUUGCUUUUAUACAUUAAAUUCCUAAUAGUUAUGCCUCAAAUUAUUUUUGUGAUUAUGCAGUCAUUCAAUUUUUAUAUUUAUGCCAAAAUGUGGUUAAAACAUUUUUAUGCAUUUUUUAUAAUUUAAUUUUGUGUUUUUAGCUAAAUUGCAUAUAAUUGAAAUAUAAGUAUAGUAGUUCAAAAUUAGGUAAAAUAAGACAAGAAUCAUAGUAGCAUAGUAAUUAUGGAACCAAUACUAAUCAAAAUCAAAUUAAUGCAAGUACCCCUUUAAUUUAGGAGGUAAUCAACCAACGGUAUUCGGUAGAAAUGAUUAAGGAAAAAAUCAAGUAGAGUAUAAGGUAUAAAAUAGAUAAUUAGGGGUAAGUACAUUGGAGUGUGAGUGCUUGAGACUGUCUAAAAGUAUUCAGUCGGAAAACAAUAUUAAAAGAGAUUUGCUGGAAAUAUUUUGUAGAGUAAACGAGGGAGUCAUGCAGUAAAACAACCUUGAAAAUAGAGAGUUACGUGAUUAGACCACAGUAGAUCAAACAGAGAAUCCAAAACUACAUCAACAAUACUCACAUGCUCAAAAUAGAAGGAACAAACCUACACACAUGGGUGAUGGGGAUUGGGGAUACUUAGAACACAUGCUUGUAAACACAUAACAAGCAAAGGUGUUAGGAAUUGGUACAAACAUGCUUUGACACAACUGAUCAGACAUAGUCCUAUUGCGUGUUGUUACCCAUCCCUUCUUAAUGGUCAUGGAGGGAUUUAGGACCUCUACCUAUAGGUGGUUAUAGGCAAACCCCUAAGGUUUUAAAGGAAAAAAUACUAAGGCGACAUGCAAGAACAAUUAGGACUUUAGCACAUAAGAUAAAAGGGAGCUAUUAGAGGCUCAGGGUUACCUCCUCAAAUAAUACAAAUAAGCAAAACGACUCAAGCAAUAAUAAGGGCCUUUUGUUAAACAGUAUCCUAAGGCAAUGUGUUUAACUGAAUAUGCAGAAAACAAGCAGUUUAUUUUAUAAAAUCAGAAGUAAUGACCCUAGUAGUUGCCUACUAAUUUUUUAAAACUUGUUAAACCAGAACAACAUUAAGUCACAGAAAUAACUCAGAGUUGCAAGAUUUAAAAAGGCCCUAUAGGCUUGCCUAUACGAGAAUAAUGAUGACUAUGUUUUAUAUAUAAGCAUGAUAUCUAGUUGUUCAAUAGUAAUAUUAGAGACAUACAGGCUUGAUGACAAAUGAAAACACAUAUAAACAAUUGUUAUAACAGGAGUUGGAUUUGGAUUAUAUCCUAUAGGCAUGGCAUCUACUUGUGAAGUUGAGUUUAAGACCUAUAAACAUGAUUUAUAUUAUUGAAUCACUUGAGACCUAUAGGCAUGGUUUCUAGCAUGUUAAGGCAAACAUAGAAAAAAUGUAAGGCAUGGUUUCUACCCGUAUUACCCCACAAAUAUGUAACUAUCCAAUUUUUUCACUAGUUACCCCAAUAUUCAUUUACAAAUUAUUACGCCCCCUCCAGUAUGUGUACUGCCUUGGGAUCCUCUUGAGAACCCUCUAAAACUCUAGCAUACUGGGGAUGGCACUUUCACACUGCACUUAUUCAUUCUGGUUGCAACUUCUAGGUGUAAGCACUACCUCGGGAUCCUUGAGAUCCUUAGGAAACUUUGAUGCCCUUAGACUAUGACAUUGUCUAUGGAAUUUGGGCAUCUGAGGCUAUUGGAGAACUUAUAAUACGGGCCUAUUUGUAGACUCCCUAUAUAAUAACUUCUUAUUUUUGUAUUAAAUUUUAUAAUUUAUUCAUAUGGUCUAAAAUAAUUUGUAAAAGUAUAUUAGGGUAACUAGUGAAAAAGGUGGGUAGUUACAUAUUUGUGGGAUAAUAUGGGUAGAAACUUACUAUGUUAGAAACCAUGGCGAUAGGUAUCAUGUAGACUACUUCAUAAGGGGACUCAUACAAGAAACCAUGCAGAGCUAAAUCACAUGGAGACAAAACUACAUGGGGGAGUGGGAGGGGGUAACAUGUUGUAACUAAUCCUAAGGAAGGGGAGCAUAUAACAUGCUAAUCAUGUAAUCAUAUUAACUGCAAGUUUCACAGCUACAUAAUUAAUUAUUUACCAUAUUUUAUUUAACACUUGAUUACUAUAUAUGUCAUUACCUAUUCUCACUUCUAAACAUGAACACUAGUCCAAAAACUAUGGGUUUACUCUCUAAAAAGUCUCUCUUUGCUCUCUCUGCUACUUGUGAUCUCAAUUAUUCUAGCCGGCUGCAAGCCAAGACUAGAUAUUGCACAAUACCUUUCUCACAACUUGUGUUUUCUUUCUUUAACUAGGUAUGCUUAUGAUUAAUUUUAAGAAUCUAAACCUAUGUGUUUACUUACUACCUUAGUUCAUGGCCUGAGUCCAUUCUUGUUUCUGUUUACUGCUUACCCAGCAAGCCAAAUACUGCCUAUUCAAAUAUGUGAUUAGCAUGUUCCACUUUACAUACUUGUUUGCUAUCUUGUUUAACAUAUCUCCAUAUGUAACAAACCCUAUUUCACCGACUACUCUUUGUCUAGCAUACGUAAACUCUGCUUUUCUGUAAUUAGCAUUCUUUCACUUGUUAAUACUUGCCUAGCAUGGCCAUUUAAGUCCUUUCCUGCUCUGCCUCACCCCUGCUAAGUUAGUUAAUCUCCCUAGAGUGACUGUAGGUGUAUUGUCCUUAACAUGUUUCUACUGUGAUAUUUGCUGCAUGACCUGCAUUAUAUAUAAUCUACUAGUUCUAUAGAACCCCUUAUGAACUCUAUGUGUACUAUUGUUUGUAUGUUUUAUUAAGGUGUAUUCUCUGUGUUCCCAACCCCUUCUUCUUGUGUGAAAGUUGUUUGGAAAAAAUACUACCUAAAACUAUUUGUUCUAUUACUCGUAUUCUGAUUGCAAAUUGUUUCAUUACACUUUCCUAAUACCAUUUUAUCACUAAUGGGUUUUCAGAAAUUCUUUUCAACUAUAAGACCGUUCUUUAUACUGUCUAUUAAACUCUUUCAAACCAUUAUGCACUAUCACUCACUCUUAAAGUACUAAGUCCUACCAUUCUGGUAUGCGUACUGCUUAGAAGCCCUUGAGAUCUCUUUGAACUAUGGCAUACCAGGGAUGACACUUCCACACUGCACGUAAAUCAGUUAUUAUUUAAGAAACGUCUAGGUUUAAGCACUACCUGGGAUCCUUGAGGUCCUUAGAGAACUCUGACACCUAGACAUGAAAUUGGGUAUGGAACUUUGGGAAUUUGAGACUACUGGAGGUUUGGAAAUCACUUUGGGCCUACUUCAAUCUCCCUACAACUUAACUUCGAUUAUAUUUAUGUAAUUUAUGUUCAAUUCUUGGUCUAUUAUAAUUAUGGUAAACAAACAAUUGGGUGACUAGUAAAAAGAAAGGGUAGUUAUAUACUAUGGAUAAAGUUGGGUCGAUACCAUGCCUAUAGGGUCCACGCUGAUUCAAAUGUGUUUGUUAGAUUCCAUGCCUAUAGGAUCUGCUCUGGUUUAAAUAAGUUCCUAUUGCUUUACUUCCACACAAUUAGAAGUCAUGCCUAUAGGAUCUAAAUAAUCUAUAAUAAUAGAUAUCAUGCCUAUAAGGUCUAAAUCAGCUUUAAUAGAAAUCACGCCUAUAGGAUUUAAAACCAAC
This 5030-nucleotide long non-coding RNA is filed under the name Nicotiana benthamiana. Its description in RNAcentral is "long non-coding RNA (NBEN_LNC030192)". The record is from RNAcentral. Lineage: Eukaryota; Viridiplantae; Streptophyta; Magnoliopsida; Solanales; Solanaceae.